GCCAGAUUUAGAGUCAGAUUCAGAAAAUGCAGAUGAUCAAACAGAACCAACUUUGCAAUCAUGACUUGAGCAGAACAUUUCACAGAGGCCAAAGUGGACAAAUUGGUAUCACAGGCACCUGGGGAAAAGCAGGCUCACAGAUGCCUGUGAUUGGGAAGUGAAAUGAUGAAGAUUAUCCUUCCCUUGAAAAGCUGCUUCUAAGAGUCAAACUCUGUCCUCGUGAUGAUAGGGUGAAUUACUGCACCACUUGUCAGCCCAUUAAAUGUGUCUUGCAAAUAUAAGAACCUGGCUUCGAGUAAUUUAACUGGUGUUCACAUUUUAAAUCUAUGUUUUUCCUAUUGCUACUUUAAUAGGAACACAUGCAAAUAGUGUGUGUGGGUGUAUGUUGCAUAUGCAUUUGAUUUCUG
Molecule: long non-coding RNA, 407 nt
Organism: Ictalurus punctatus (channel catfish)
Lineage: Eukaryota; Metazoa; Chordata; Actinopteri; Siluriformes; Ictaluridae
Source: Ensembl